This 1500-nucleotide ribosomal RNA is filed under the name Citrobacter freundii. Its description in RNAcentral is "16S ribosomal RNA". It matches the Rfam family "Bacterial small subunit ribosomal RNA". The record is from RNAcentral. Lineage: Bacteria; Pseudomonadati; Pseudomonadota; Gammaproteobacteria; Enterobacterales; Enterobacteriaceae.
UAGAGUUUGAUCCUGGCUCAGAUUGAACGCUGGCGGCAGGCCUAACACAUGCAAGUUCGGGCGGUAACACGGGGAGCUUGCUCCCGGGUGACGAGCGGCGGACGGGUGAGUAAUGUCUGGGAAACUGCCUGAUGGAGGGGGAUAACUACUGGAAACGGUAGCUAAUACCGCAUAACGUCGCAAGACCAAAGAGGGGGACCUUCGGGCCUCUUGCCAUCAGAUGUGCCCAGAUGGGAUUAGCUAGUAGGUGGGGUAACGGCUCACCUAGGCGACGAUCCCUAGCUGGUCUGAGAGGAUGACCAGCCACACUGGAACUGAGACACGGUCCAGACUCCUACGGGAGGCAGCAGUGGGGAAUAUUGCACAAUGGGCGCAAGCCUGAUGCAGCCAUGCCGCGUGUAUGAAGAAGGCCUUCGGGUUGUAAAGUACUUUCAGCGGGGAGGAAGGUGUUGUGGUUAAUAACCACAGCAAUUGACGUUACCCGCAGAAGAAGCACCGGCUAACUCCGUGCCAGCAGCCGCGGUAAUACGGAGGGUGCAAGCGUUAAUCGGAAUUACUGGGCGUAAAGCGCACGCAGGCGGUCUGUCAAGUCGGAUGUGAAAUCCCCGGGCUCAACCUGGGAACUGCAUUCGAAACUGGCAGGCUAGAGUCUUGUAGAGGGGGGUAGAAUUCCAGGUGUAGCGGUGAAAUGCGUAGAGAUCUGGAGGAAUACCGGUGGCGAAGGCGGCCCCCUGGACAAAGACUGACGCUCAGGUGCGAAAGCGUGGGGAGCAAACAGGAUUAGAUACCCUGGUAGUCCACGCCGUAAACGAUGUCGACUUGGAGGUUGUGCCCUUGAGGCGUGGCUUCCGGAGCUAACGCGUUAAGUCGACCGCCUGGGGAGUACGGCCGCAAGGUUAAAACUCAAAUGAAUUGACGGGGGCCCGCACAAGCGGUGGAGCAUGUGGUUUAAUUCGAUGCAACGCGAAGAACCUUACCUACUCUUGACAUCCAGAGAACUUUCCAGAGAUGGAUUGGUGCCUUCGGGAACUCUGAGACAGGUGCUGCAUGGCUGUCGUCAGCUCGUGUUGUGAAAUGUUGGGUUAAGUCCCGCAACGAGCGCAACCCUUAUCCUUUGUUGCCAGCGGUCCGGCCGGGAACUCAAAGGAGACUGCCAGUGAUAAACUGGAGGAAGGUGGGGAUGACGUCAAGUCAUCAUGGCCCUUACGAGUAGGGCUACACACGUGCUACAAUGGCGCAUACAAAGAGAAGCGACCUCGCGAGAGCAAGCGGACCUCAUAAAGUGCGUCGUAGUCCGGAUUGGAGUCUGCAACUCGACUCCAUGAAGUCGGAAUCGCUAGUAAUCGUAGAUCAGAAUGCUACGGUGAAUACGUUCCCGGGCCUUGUACACACCGCCCGUCACACCAUGGGAGUGGGUUGCAAAAGAAGUAGGUAGCUUAACCUUCGGGAGGGCGCUUACCACUUUGUGAUUCAUGACUGGGGUGAAGUCGUAACAAGGUA